This 462-nucleotide ribosomal RNA is filed under the name uncultured bacterium. RNAcentral describes it as "SSU rRNA". It matches the Rfam family "Bacterial small subunit ribosomal RNA", at positions 26 to 518 of the family's 1533-position model. The record is from RNAcentral.
AGAAUCAACGCUGGCGGCGUGCCUAACACAUGCAAGUCGAACGAGAAAGUGGAGCAAUCCAUGAGUAAAGUGGCGCACGGGUGAGUAACACGUGACUAACCUACCUUUUAGUGGGGGAUAACCUAGGGAAACCUGGGCUAAUACCGCAUAAUACCUACGGGUCAAAGCAGCAAUGCGCUGGAAGAGGGGGUCGCGGCCGAUUAGCUAGUUGGCGGGUAAUGGCCCACAAGGCAGUGAUCGGUAUCCGGCCUGAGAGGGCGCACGGACACACUGGAACUGAAACACGGUCCAGACUCCUACGGGAGGCAGCAGUGGGGAAUUUUGCGCAAAUGGGGGAAACCCUGACGCAGCAACGCCGCGUGGAGGAUGAAGACCCUUGGGUCGUAAAACUCCUUUCGAUCGGGACGAUAAUGACGGUACCGGAAGAAGAAAGCCCCGGCUAAACUUCGCGCCAGCAGCCGC